This 424-nucleotide ribosomal RNA is filed under the name Verrucomicrobiota bacterium. Its description in RNAcentral is "Verrucomicrobia bacterium partial 16S ribosomal RNA". It matches the Rfam family "Bacterial small subunit ribosomal RNA", at positions 355 to 776 of the family's 1533-position model. Lineage: Bacteria; Pseudomonadati; Verrucomicrobiota. The record is from RNAcentral.
UGAGGAAUAUUGGUCAAUGGACGCAAGUCUGAACCAGCCAAGUAGCGUGCAGGAUGACGGCCCUAUGGGUUGUAAACUGCUUUUAUAUGGGGAUAAAGUGGGGAACGCGUUCCCUUUUGCAGGUACCAUAUGAAUAAGGACCGGCUAAUUCCGUGCCAGCAGCCGCGGUAAUGCGGAAGGUUCGGGCGUUAUCCGGAUUUAUUGGGUUUAAAGGGAGCGUAGGCCGUUUGGUAAGCGUGUUGUGAAAUGUAGGAGCUCAACUUCUAGAUUGCAGCGCGAACUGUCAGACUUGAGUGCGCACAACGUAGGCGGAAUUCAUGGUGUAGCGGUGAAAUGCUUAGAUAUCAUGAAGAACUCCGAUUGCGAAGGCAGCUUACGGGGGCGCAACUGACGCUGAAGCUCGAAGGUGCGGGUAUCGAACAGG